Non-coding RNA from Doryrhamphus excisus (bluestripe pipefish), 4905 nucleotides. Lineage: Eukaryota; Metazoa; Chordata; Actinopteri; Syngnathiformes; Syngnathidae. The record is from RefSeq and is a predicted model, not a curated record.
CGAUCGAUUGCUUCCUUUUGGCUCCGUCCGUAGUCGCUGUGUUUUGCUAGUUGCAAUAAAUUCCAGUGCGACGAAGUCAUUGAUUUCUCCCUCUAUUCCAGGAGCUGCUGCUGCUGGUAGUGCUGCAUCUGUUGGAUCUGCUGCAGCUGCUGCAGCUGGCUCUGCUGCUGCAGGCUGAACUGCUGCUGCUGCUGUUGCUGCUGCUGCGACAGGAAGUGAGCGGCUGCCUGCCCGUCGUAGCCCUCAGUCCCCACGAGGUAGGAGCCGGCGGGAGGAGACGCCACACCCGACGGGUCGUUGUUGAUGGGAUCCCAGGCAUCCGAGGAUGAGAGGCAGUAGUGUCCCUGGGAGACGUAGGUGUGGGGCCACACCUCCGCUGAGGAGUGGUGCAAGAUCUGGUCUGGAGGAAGUAAGGAAUGAUAGCGGGAAAGCGGUACGAGAACCAUGAUUAUUUGAUAUGGUGGUGACUGAAUCAAUACAGUGAAAUUUUUAAUCAGAUCCAAUUGCACCACGAAAGUUGCACAAAACUUCAGAGAUCAAACUGAAUUGUGCAAGAUUCACUUCAGUGAGCAUGAAAGGAUUAACUUUGCUUAUUAUUAUUUUUUUGUUUAGAUUUUUUACAACACUUUCCAAAAGUACCAGCCUCAACAAGCAGUGUUACGAGAAAGAUACACAGGGCCUGACCCAAUAGUUAAGUUUACAUUAGUGUAUUACAGCGAUGCCUUGGUUAACAUUCAGGCUCAAACCAAAACGGACUCUAACCAAAGCAAAUUUUCCCAUAGAAAAUUAUGUAACUCCAGUUAAUCUGUUUAAAACACCGAAAAAUGUUAACGUAAAACACAUUUUAUAGACAUUAUUUAUAGUUGUACAUGCAGAAAAUGAUGCAAAAAGAAUUACAAAUAAAUAGACAACUGAACAUGUAACAUCAAAACGUAGUUUUGUUGGAAAACACCCACAAAACCAUCAAUUAUGGGCAAAAAGCUGGAUUAUCCACCAAACUGUUGCUGAAGCCUGAUGCCGUUCCAACAUUACUUUGUUAUGUUGAAGAGUCAGAAGCAUAAACUGUAAGUAAUUUAUCAGUGGUUGUCUGUGUAGCAUUACAUAGUGUGCAUACAGGAAGCGCCUGUACUGCAUUUUGGGUAAUUUGCAUACUAACAGUUGCACAUCUCAGAGGACCUGGGCUACACUGUGAACCCUACUCAUACCAUCAAAAAAAAAUCCCACUUCUUCCUGAGAAUGUUGAGAAGUAACAAACUCCACCUCCACCACUGCUGGAACUAUUUCUACCACUGUUCGAUAGAGAGUGUCCCUCACCUAUGGAUGCACUGUGUGGUAUGGAAAAGGAACAACUGCAGCAGGUCAUCAAGACAGCUCAACGAAUCAUCGGCUCGCCACUUCCCCACGUCUAGAGAGAUCUAUUUCAGUCGCCUCCUCCGACGGGCCAGACAGAUACUGGAUGACCCCGCCCACCAUGGGCACUCUCUAUUUGUCUAUCUUCCCUGUGGCAGACUCAGUCAUGAGAGCUUGGAGCACUAGACUGAAACAUACUGUAGCUUUUUGCCCAUGGCUGUGAAGAGAGUCUUUCUUGAUACAACUAAGGACUUGCAACAUUUAACAUUUUUCUGCACCUGUUUUUUUUUUUUUUUUUAUAAUUUAUUGCAUUUUUUUCAUUUUGCAAUCAUUCACAAUCCUUAUGUGAAACGUGUCAUUUGGUUUUUAACCAAGGCAGGUAUCACCUUUAAUACAGACUUUGACUCUAGAACAGAAAAAUGCUGACCAACUGGAGUUUGGCCAGCAUCCUGGAAUUGAUUCCGAGGCCUAGAUCCAAAAACCUGGCAUAUAAAUCUCUUAAAGACUAGUCAAGUGGCCUGCCCUGUAAUGUAGAUUCAUUACUUUUGUCACAUCUUAUGAUGCUGACACACAAGAACACUUUGUGCAAUAUUCCAUCUCUCAAGAGGCGGAUCUAAAUUAGACCCAAGAGUAAACACACAGCGAUUUUUUUUUUUCUACUCUGAGGUUAUUAUUUUUCGUGUAUUUGAUUUAAGAAUCAUGGGAUGGCUUCAUGCAAAUGUGCUAACGAAGCAUCACACCCUUUAAAUUGUAAAGGACAACAACAAAGUAAUGUGAAGCUCAUUAAGGCGUACCUGAGAAUUGCUUUUCUAUCAAAAUGUGCUGUUUAUGCAGACUACAUCAACUUUGCAAACGUUACCUCGACUGGUGAUGCUCUCCUGGUUGACCUCGCUCAGAUGGGCCACGCUGCCCUGGUUUGAACCUGACCGAGGGCUCUCGCCAUCCAUGGAUGACCAGGCCAGGAGGGUGGCCUCCGAAAUGGCAAACUGCUGCAGGAUACCUGAGGUUAAAGAUGAUAUUAAGGGUCAUGAAUGAUGCCUUAAUUGGCUGUUUAAGACGACAGGAGAAGAGCACUUGACAGGCACUGUGAAGGACCUUGCCCUUGUCAGUGGCUGUGUUUGCCAACCUGCGGCGAAUCGAGCUUCCUUCUCGCCGUCGCUCAGGUCACUGUAGGCGUCGUUCUCUAGCCGCCGCUCCUUUUCCCGCUCCUGGGUGCUGAUACGGGACUGGGGGAGGCCCCCCGAGCCUACUGUCUGCAUGCCCCAGUUCUGCCACUCAAUCAUGUGAGCGACGCGACCCUGAGCCAUGGCCGUGGGCUUGGUCACUCUUUCCUUCAUGGAGCGGGUCACACCUGAAGGGCGGAUGGGGUUGAGUUUGGGAGGAAAUGAGGGAAGUGUAGGAAUUGAAGGAGGUGGAUAAUAAAUGACAGGAGUUCAGGGAAUAUGGAGAAGAGACGUGGAGAAAUAGAAAAAAGGGGGAGGGGAAGACAUAGGAUAAUAGUGUUAUUAUCAAGUGUGUAUGACCGGUAGUGGAUGAUGUGAUGGCCUGUCGAAGAAAUGAAGCCUGCAGGGUGAGACUGAUAUAUUGCUUUUACGUUGUUAAUAUUGGGCUGUUAUGUUAAGUUAUGCCUUUAGAUAUGAUGUCAUAUUCUUGCAUUUGUUUGUUUUUUAAUGAUGUUCUAACAGUAAUAUGCAUCCUUAUAGAUUGUGAGCAUCAAACAUGAGAAGAAAAUGUCGACCUACAGACGUGGGAACUCUUGUCUUCGCUAGGGUCAGCGGUGUGCUGGAACCUAUCCCAGAAGUCUUCAGUCAAGAGGCGGGUCGAUUUUUCAUGAUGUGAUGAGGUCAAAAACCUUCUUCCUCGUUGACAUGGUAACGCCUCUUACUCUUACCGCUCCUAGCUAGUGUACGUAUAUGACCACACUUCAUAGUGUGAAAAAUAAACAGGCUUUGCUACAGCUAUGCUAACUAACUGUCAGUCUCUACAGACAUUUCAUAAUUUAGUUUUCUUCAGCGAAUACGCUUUAAAAGAUUAAACCAUCCAUCCUCAUAUUGUGACUUUAUUUUUUUAACAUUAUAUCUUUUCCAUUAUACUCCUUUUUAACAGACUAUUAUAUGAAUGUAACUGAAUACCAACCAACAUAACUCAGAAUCAGCCUUUAUCAAUACAGUUGACAACUUCCUGUUUUUUUUUAUUCUGUGUAAACAUAUUUUCCAUGUAGAUAUUUCCUUUUAUACGUCUCCUUCCACUCAGGCACAAGUAGUGAAGAGAUUUAGCACUUGAAUGAUCGAGUGCACAAGUGAAGAAGCUACACCCAUGUUCCUUCUUAAAAAGGCCCCCAAAAAAAUGAUCUUAUGAUGGCCCUGCAUGGGUGAGUUCUUCUCUUGCAAGGGCACGGCGGAGCAUAAUGCAUAAAUAAAUCAUGGAAUAGGUCUGCAGUACUUUUUGGGUUGAAAAGUGAAGCUGCGUUUUAGUGGAAAAUGGCUUUCUCUCCUGCACCCUGUCCCAGAGGAGAGAGAAAGAAGAGGAAGUGAGGAGAGGCUAUAAUGGGAAUGGUCACUGUUUUUUUUUUCUUUACGAGCACUGAGCAGCAACUCUUUUUCGAGGUGGACGUCGACACAUUGUUUGACCGCAGUGAGAUGCCGAUUGAUGGAAAUUGUUCACUCUUCCAGCUAUAUGCCACCCUAUCAUGUGCAGACGUAUGUGCUGGAAAUGGAAGUGAUUGACAGUGACGCACAGCGGUACUUUCCUAAUCUACUAGUGAGAGCAGGAGAGCACGUGACUCGAGUCAGGGGAUGAGGGGGGGUGUGGGUGGGUGAGGUGAGCUGCCUGUCAACACCGCACCUCACCGUGCAACUACUUCAAGUCAGCCAUGUUGGUUCCUCGGCUUGUCCUGGCUUGUGGCAAAAGUUCUGCUUAACGGCGAAUGAGGUCUUACCUGCUCCCCAUCCUUCUGGACUGGCACGCCAUCUGCUGCUGAGUGCAGAGACAACAGGGGGGAGAAACACAGAGAGAGAGGAGAAAUGUUAAUGUUCCAUUUCAUUGAUUCGACUUGGAGACAAUCAUGCUUCAAUCGUGCUUAAGUAUAUCAUCUUCUAUAGAUAGCGGCCAUAUGCAUUUUCUCCAAAAUAUCCAACCUGUACCAUCACACUUUUCAGCACUGGUCCCAGUUGUGUGGUACGGUUUGCUUGUAUACAGUACCGCUAGACAAGCUUGAGUCUUUUGCCGUCAGUAUUGUCACUUCUGUGAAUGUAAGGAAUGGAUUUAAAAGAAAAAUUAACCAUUUAAUGCAGGGGUCUCAAACUCAACUCAACCACCGGAGCUAGGUUCUGGGUGAAGCCGAGCCGCAUCAGGUUUUCAAAAAAAAAAACCCAAAACGCAUUUAUUAAAAACUGGAAAAAAAAAAAAUCUUCAAUGCUUUUGCUUCUGCUAUACCCUACACUUUUUCAGUACUUUGGUUCCGGUUUUCCACACCAAAAUAUCUGAUAAAACAUUCCACUGUUCUCAAAUAUCUUAAUAAAAAAAUAUAUAAAUAAAUAAAUAAACAAAUUAAGA